CCUACGGGGGGCAGCAGUGAGGAAUAUUGGUCAAUGGACGAGAGUCUGAACCAGCCAAGUAGCGUGAAGGAUGACUGCCCUAUGGGUUGUAAACUUCUUUUAUAUGGGAAUAAAACGUUCCACGUGUGGGAUUUUGUAUGUACCAUAUGAAUAAGGAUCGGCUAACUCCGUGCCAGCAGCCGCGGUAAUACGGAGGAUCCGAGCGUUAUCCGGAUUUAUUGGGUUUAAAGGGAGCGUAGGUGGAUUGUUAAGUCAGUUGUGAAAGUUUGCGGCUAAACCGUAAAAUUGCAGUUGAAACUGGCAGUCUUGAGUACAGUAGAGGUGGGCGGAAUUCGUGGUGUAGCGGUGAAAUGCUUAGAUAUCACGAAGAACUCCGAUUGCGAAGGCAGUUCACUGGACUGCAACUGACACUGAGGCUCGAAAGUGUGGGUAUCAAACAGGAUUAGAUACCCGUGUAGUC
Molecule: ribosomal RNA, 460 nt
Filed under: uncultured bacterium
Lineage: Bacteria
Description: partial 16S ribosomal RNA
Rfam family: Bacterial small subunit ribosomal RNA
Source: RNAcentral